AUCCACUAGUAACGGCCCGCCACAGGUGUCUGGAAUUCGGCUUGCUUAAAGGGGCCGUAGCCGGCCUUGUAAGUCCUCCCUUAAACGGCGUGGCUCAACCACGCCGCUGGGGAGGAUACUGCAAGGCUAGGGAGCGGGAGAGGCGAGGGGUACUCGGGAGGUAGUGGCAAAAUACGAUAAUCUCCCGAGGACCACCAGUGGCGGAGGCGCCUCGCUAGAACGCGUCCGACGGUGAGGGACGAAAGCUGGGGGAGCAAAAGGGAUUAGAGACCCCUGUAGUCCCAGCUGUAAACGAUGCGGGCUAAAUGUUGGGCGAGGUUAGGCCUCGCUCAGUGUUGCAGGGAAGCCGUUAAGCCCGCCGCUUGGGGAGUACGGUCGCAAGACUGAAACUUAAAGGAAUUGGCGGGGGAGUACCACAAGGGGUGGAGGCUGCGGUUCAAUUGGAGUCAACGCCGGAAACCUUACCAGGGGCGACAGCAGGAUGAAGGUCAGGCUGAAGACCUUACUAGACGAGCUGAGAGGAGGUGCAUGGCCGUCGCCGGCUCGUGCCAUGAGGUGUCCGGUUAAGUCCGGCAACGAGCGAGACCCCCGCGCCCAUUUGCUAAGGCGGCUCUAUGAGCCACCUGCACUAUGGGCGGACUGCCGGCGCAAGCCGGAGGAAGGAGGGGGCUACGGCAGGUACGCAUGCCCCUAAAAGCCGAAUUCUGCAGA
RNAcentral lists this ribosomal RNA (711 nucleotides) under uncultured crenarchaeote. RNAcentral's name for it is "bacterial SSU rRNA". It matches the Rfam family "Archaeal small subunit ribosomal RNA", at positions 465 to 1180 of the family's 1478-position model. The record is from RNAcentral. Lineage: Archaea; Thermoproteati; Thermoproteota.